This 439-nucleotide long non-coding RNA is filed under the name Capsicum annuum. Its description in RNAcentral is "long non-coding RNA (CANN_LNC021974)". Lineage: Eukaryota; Viridiplantae; Streptophyta; Magnoliopsida; Solanales; Solanaceae. The record is from RNAcentral.
UUCGUCGUAUGAUGUCGUGGUCCAUGAGCAGCGGUCGGAAUUCUCGGAUGCGGUAGACGUAGUUCUGGAGAGGGAAUAAGGUGAUAAAACAUGGGAAUAAACAAAGUAUGGUUUGGAUUCUGUUAUGAAAUAAGAAAUUCAAAUUAAUGUCUAGGACAGGGAUGUACUUAGAUACCUUACUUGAUUCACACGUAGGACGAUAGUUUAAAGAACUUGAUUGAACAAUUACAUCCUCGCUCAAUGAUGUAGUUGUAAUGUUCAUAUUAGGAAAAAGAUUAGAGGUCGGGAUACCAUGAUCAUGCAAUUAACCAUAUGAAUCAACAACAAAGAUAAACAAUUUAGUGAUUGAAGUUCAAUUACGUAGUAUGAUUGUUCGUAAGACUUAACCCUAGAUAUUUACCCAUUGAUGUCCAAAGUUAUUACUUUUCCUCUUUAGUUU